CAGUCGCCGCGGUAAUACGAGGGGGGCAAGCGUUGUUCGGAAUUACUGGGCGUAAAGGGCGCGUAGGCGGCCAUUCAAGUUAGAUGUGAAAGCCCUGGGCUCAACCUAGGAAUUGCAUUUGAUACUGUUUGGCUUGAGUUCGGGAGAGGUGAGUGGAAUUCCCAGUGUAGAGGUGAAAUUCGUAGAUAUUGGGAAGAACACCAGUGGCGAAGGCGGCUCACUGGACCGACACUGACGCUGAGGCGCGAAAGCGUGGGGAGCAAACAGGAUUAGAUACCCCAGUAGUCCCUGUCUCUUAUAC
Molecule: ribosomal RNA, 301 nt
Filed under: uncultured bacterium
Lineage: Bacteria
Description: partial 16S ribosomal RNA
Rfam family: Bacterial small subunit ribosomal RNA
Source: RNAcentral